This 71-nucleotide transfer RNA is filed under the name Pristimantis pardalis (leopard robber frog). RNAcentral's name for it is "tRNA-Tyr". It matches the Rfam family "tRNA". From Rfam's summary of the family: Transfer RNA (tRNA) molecules are approximately 80 nucleotides in length. Lineage: Eukaryota; Metazoa; Chordata; Amphibia; Anura; Strabomantidae. The record is from RNAcentral.
AGGUAAAGUGGCCGAGAGAUAGGCGGCGGCUUGUAAUUCCGUCAACAAAGGUUUAAUUCCUUUUUUUACCA